Molecule: long non-coding RNA, 932 nt
Organism: Hyaena hyaena (striped hyena)
Lineage: Eukaryota; Metazoa; Chordata; Mammalia; Carnivora; Hyaenidae
Exons: 4
Source: RefSeq, a predicted model, not a curated record
GGAGAACUUAAUGGAAGGUCCGAGGAAGGGGUGCCUCUCAUUCAAGGCCAACGGGCCAGAUGCCAGGGCCAUGGGCAUGACCAGAUGCUUUCCAGCUGAGCUACACACUGCCCUGCUGAUUCGCUCACUUAACAAUCGAUGAGCACCUGCUAUAUUCCAGCCCCGGGCUAGGGUCACAGAGAUAAAGGACACCUCGCCUGCUCCCAUGUCAAUCACAGUCUACGGGGAGAAAUGAGGAGCUGGCCCAGAACGACUUAGCGGAAAGCACUUUGGCUGGCCGCCGACAGAGUAAAUGGAUGGCUGAGGAUGCUUUCGUCUGCACAGCAUCUAUUCCUCUUCUGGGAAGAGUCCCAGGUUUCCCUUCAGGGAACCACGUCUCCACUCUCAAUUUGUUUUUGAGGGAGCUGGCUCCUUCCAGCCUCCCUCCCACUCUGGGGUGAACUGAUAACCCAGGCUCCACCACUUCCUUUGGACACAGUCAACACCCAGAUAGUCAUCUUGUAGGCAUGUGUUUAAAGAGUAUCUCCUUCCACAUAUAUAAAGUCAGUAAUCUCACUAAGGGCUUCUGCACAUUUUGAGGAAACUGAAAUGUGACUAAAAAUGUUAUGAAAGCUUCAGCAUCCCAAGUAAGUACAUCAUUCACCUUUUAGCAGCAUGGUGCACAGGAUUCUUCGUGCACAGCCUCAGUGACCACACAUGACAAGGAAUAUUGUCCUUGCAAAGAUAGUUUGGAAAAGUCAUUAAACAAACGGAGGAUUGCAUCGUAUCCCACAGCAAGCAACAGCAACAAACCCUGGAUAGGAAGAAACAUCUGAUUCCCAGACGUACCACAUUAUAAAAUUUAAAAUACCUAGUUUCAACAGCAAGAUUAUAAAGCCUAUAAAGAAACAGAAAAGAUGGCCCAUUCACAGGAAAACAGAAAGGACACAUAG